This 735-nucleotide ribosomal RNA is filed under the name uncultured Fusobacterium sp. Its description in RNAcentral is "bacterial SSU rRNA". It matches the Rfam family "Bacterial small subunit ribosomal RNA", at positions 28 to 776 of the family's 1533-position model. Lineage: Bacteria; Fusobacteriati; Fusobacteriota; Fusobacteriia; Fusobacteriales; Fusobacteriaceae. The record is from RNAcentral.
GAUGAACGCUGACAGAAUGCUUAACACAUGCAAGUCAACUUGAAUUUGGGUUUUUAACUUAGAUUUGGGUGGCGGACGGGUGAGUAACGCGUAAAGAACUUGCCUCACAGCUAGGGACAACAUUUAGAAAUGAAUGCUAAUACCUGAUAUUAUGAUUUUAAGGCAUCUUAGAAUUAUGAAAGCUAUAAGCACUGUGAGAGAGCUUUGCGUCCCAUUAGCUAGUUGGAGAGGUAACAGCUCACCAAGGCGAUGAUGGGUAGCCGGCCUGAGAGGGUGAACGGCCACAAGGGGACUGAGACACGGCCCUUACUCCUACGGGAGGCAGCAGUGGGGAAUAUUGGACAAUGGACCAAGAGUCUGAUCCAGCAAUUCCGUGUGCACGAUGAAGUUUUUCGGAAUGUAAAGUGCUUUCAGUUGGGAAGAAAUAAAUGACGGUACCAACAGAAGAAGUGACGGCUAAAUACGUGCCAGCAGCCGCGGUAAUACGUAUGUCACGAGCGUUAUCCGGAUUUAUUGGGCGUAAAGCGCGUCUAGGUGGUUAUGUAAGUCUGAUGUGAAAAUGCAGGGCUCAACUCUGUAUUGCGUUGGAAACUGUAUAACUAGAGUACUGGAGAGGUAAGCGGAACUACAAGUGUAGAGGUGAAAUUCGUAGAUAUUUGUAGGAAUGCCGAUGGGGAAGCCAGCUUACUGGACAGAUACUGACGCUAAAGCGCGAAAGCGUGGGUAGCAAACAGG